UCCGACCUGAACUCAGACGUGAAG
RNAcentral lists this ribosomal RNA (24 nucleotides) under Paratylenchus sp. 5 SAS-2014. Its description in RNAcentral is "partial 28S ribosomal RNA". The record is from RNAcentral. Lineage: Eukaryota; Metazoa; Nematoda; Chromadorea; Rhabditida; Tylenchulidae.